Gallus gallus (chicken) is the source of this 2238-nucleotide long non-coding RNA. The record is from Ensembl. NCBI's taxonomy places the organism in Eukaryota, Metazoa, Chordata, Aves, Galliformes, Phasianidae.
UCAGCAACCACAUCAGCCAUCUAUUUAAGAACCCUGGGAUGGAUAUCAUCUGGCCCCAUGGACUUAUACAAGUUCAAUUUCAUGAGGAGAAUUUCCUGAGGACGAUCUCCAUCUUAACUCCAGAAGAGAAAAAAUCAUCUAUUACCUCUUUUUCAUCUGUAAUUACUCGUGGAGGUGCAGAGAUUAGUUCCCACACCCUUUCUGUCUCGUGAGGAAUAUGAGUUAUGAAGAACAGCUUAUUCUCCCAGUUCCCAAGACUAUGACUUGGAUGCUUUUGUGUGACUUUGUUCUUUUCUCUACACAUUUGCUAUACAAAGCCAAUGGGAAAAGAAAUACACAAACCCAUUGUGAAGUGUCCAUAUCACCUUCACAGAAAAAGAAUGGAUGCAAGUAUCUCCCAGCUUUCUUGAUACUAACUGAACAUUAUAUCAAGGAAAGAAGCUGACUUUAUGCAACAAAAAGCUGAUAUUAUCUGAAAAUUAUUUUUAUAGUCAAUAUAUAACACUCCUCCAAGCCAGAAAAGAAUAUUUCUGUGAUUUUAAUAAUCACUGCUUAACUUCUCUCUUGCUGUCUACAUUUGGGUUGUUUUAGAUUUUGUGGACCAUGGUCCUAUUCUUCUGUAGGUAAUACAGACACAGUGAAGGCAUGGUCCUUGCCCAGGGAGAAUAUUUCCCCUUUAUAUAUUGAAAGCACCUAUCAGGUCACCUUGGAGCCUUUCUGCAGCCUGCAGCCUCUGCAGCCUCUUCUGCAGGCUGAACAGCCCCAGCUCUUCCAGAUGUCAGAUGGUCUGCAAGCAUUUCUUGAAGCUCACAGAAUCACUUCAAAAGUCGUGAACAGAAAAUGAAGGAAAGAUGAACAUGGCCAGGACACUUGGAUCUCCUAAUGAAAAGCUACUGUCCACCAUACUGUCAGUGCAACACAGAGAGAUGACACCACAAGCAAAAAGAAUACUGUGCUUCAUGAUACUUCUUUAGUUGUUGAUAGCAUCAUUACUGUCAAAUGAUUUCUUAAUUAUUCUUUUUAUUUGGCAAUUACUAAUAGUGAAUGGAAGGGUAUUCAUUAUUUUCGAACAACACCUGAAAAAAAUCUACUUAUUCAUGAACAGAUGAUCCUAUUUUUAUGGGUAAGCAGACAUCUUUCUAUAAUAUCUUCAUAUAUUUCUAUUUCUAUAAUCACAAUUUAACAGCACCCUUUCAAUGGAAGAUCUGGUCCCUUUACUAGGAAACUAGAUUUCAGCACAAGGAUCUGUUAGGUGAUUUGAUUGUAGUGCACAUAUGGAAAACCCUGGAUGGUGAGCAGAAUUACUGAGCUCCCAUUCGGAAUCCAGUGAACAUGUUUCAUCAGUUUUAUAAGAUUAAUCCCUGAAGCUCCUAAAACCUUAUUUUCAUAUCACCUUAUUGCAUUCAUGCCAGGCCAGAAAUCUUUAUUGACAAGAGAAAUGGGGAAGUGAUAUUGGUAUCCAGACGAUCAAUCCAGACCUAAGGAAUAGAAAAAUUACUAGAAUAGUGGGUAAAGAAGGGACCAGAAUACAUUGCUUAGUGUUUAUUCAGUAGAUGUGCGCUUUGUUGGGGAACAAAUUUUGGAGUGCUGGCCUAACACAAGGAAAUGCUAGUUACCAUAAAAAGAAUGACAUUAAAAUAUGACUAUCACAAGUUUUCAUCCAGAAGGUCUGGUGUAUGUUUGAACUAGCUUUUUUUCUUUCUUUUUUUUUUUUUUUUGUCUUUGUGCUGUGAUCAAACAGAUACAGCAUUUGAUUUCUUUAUCUUCUGUAACUUUUUAUUAUUUAAUCAGGAAUUUUAAGGUGCUGAGCACUUCUGUGAAAUGCUGAGCACUCUGAAGUUCCAGUGAUUGCCCGUUAAAGGUGUGCAGCACAUUUCAAGAUUGUGAUUUGUGACUGACAAGAACAAUUGUGUUGAAAAGAAAAAGAAAUCUUGUCUCAUUAAUUACAAGUUCAAUUAAAACAAAGCAGCCAUCAAAAGUAUAGGUCAAGAGGAAAAGCAAUGCGCAGUAUAUUUGACAUGUAUAAAAGACAAAUAUGUCUUUUUAUUAGUUUGAAGGUUAAUGUCCUCAUUAGAUUGUAGCAGUUCACUAUGCAUUCGUGCCUGUGUCUGCAAUGUGAUAUACCAAUCAACAGGAACAUUUGAGGGAUAACAUAAAAGCAAAAUAAAAUUACUGUUAACUGUGAACUCUUAAAAAAGAUAAACUUGACAAACUUUAUUUCUGCAGUCAUAGUAGACC